This 74-nucleotide transfer RNA is filed under the name Staphylococcus aureus. RNAcentral's name for it is "tRNA-Met". It matches the Rfam family "tRNA". Rfam says of the family: Transfer RNA (tRNA) molecules are approximately 80 nucleotides in length. Their secondary structure includes four short double-helical elements and three loops (D, anti-codon, and T loops). The record is from RNAcentral. RNAcentral also lists the same sequence under 1 other name. Lineage: Bacteria; Bacillati; Bacillota; Bacilli; Caryophanales; Staphylococcaceae.
CGCGGGAUGGAGCAGUUCGGUAGCUCGUCGGGCUCAUAACCCGAAGGUCGGUGAUUCAAAUCCGCCUCCCGCAA